Molecule: non-coding RNA, 71 nt
Organism: Trichonephila clavipes
Lineage: Eukaryota; Metazoa; Arthropoda; Arachnida; Araneae; Nephilidae
Source: the annotation of a GenBank genome assembly
GGCUCGGUGAUCUAGGGGUAUGAUUCUCGCUUCGGGGGAGAGGUCCCGGGUUCAAUUCCCGUUCGAGCUCA